RNAcentral lists this ribosomal RNA (389 nucleotides) under uncultured bacterium. RNAcentral's name for it is "bacterial SSU rRNA". It matches the Rfam family "Bacterial small subunit ribosomal RNA", at positions 28 to 417 of the family's 1533-position model. The record is from RNAcentral.
GACGAACGCUGGCGGCGUGCUUAACACAUGCAAGUCGAGCGGUAAGGCCCUUUCGGGGGUACACGAGCGGCGAACGGGUGAGUAACACGUGGGUGACCUGCCCUCAGCUCUGGGAUAAGCCUGGGAAACCGGGGUCUAAUACCGGAUAUGACUCCAUGACGCAUGUUGUGGGGUGGAAAGCCUUGUGCGGCUGAGGAUGGGCCCGCGGCCUAUCAGCUUGUUGGUGGGGUGAUGGCCUACCAAGGCGACGACGGGUAGCCGGCCUGAGAGGGCGACCGGCCACACUGGGGACUGAGACACGGCCCAGACUCCUACGGGAGGCAGCAGUGGGGAAUCUUGCGCAAUGGGCGAAAGCCUGACGCAGCGACGCCGCGUGAGGAUGACGGCCU